This 1350-nucleotide ribosomal RNA is filed under the name uncultured prokaryote. RNAcentral describes it as "partial 16S ribosomal RNA". It matches the Rfam family "Bacterial small subunit ribosomal RNA". The record is from RNAcentral.
UGCAGUCGAACGGGAUCCCUGGCUUCGGUUGGGGUGAGACCGGCGCACGGGUGAGUAACGCGUGGGAAUCUGCCCUGGGGUGGGGAAUAACCGCUGGAAACGGCGGCUAAUACCGCAUGGCUCCGGACCUGGAGCGUUUUAGCGCCCUGGGAUGAGCCCGCGUUAGAUUAGGUAGUUGGUGGGGUAAAGGCCUACCAAGCCUUCGAUCUAUAGCUGGUCUGAGAGGAUGAUCAGCCACACUGGGACUGAGACACGGCCCAGGCUCCUACGGGAGGCAGCAGUGGGGAAUAUUGCGCAAUGGGCGAAAGCCUGACGCGGCCAUGCCGCGUGAGUGAAGAAGGCCUUCGGGUUGUAAAGCUCUUUCAACGGUGAAGAUGAUGACGGUAGCCGUAGAAGAAGCCCCGGCUAACUUCGUGCCAGCAGCCGCGGUAAUACGAAGGGGGCAAGCGUUGUUCGGAAUUACUGGGCGUAAAGGGCGCGUAGGCGGAAAGAUCAGUCAGGGGUGAAAUUCCGGGGCUCAACCCCGGAACUGCCUUUGAUACUGUUUUUCUUGAGUUUGUGAGAGGAUGGCGGAAUACCCAGUGUAGAGGUGAAAUUAGAAGAUAUUGGAAGGAACACCAGUGGCGAAGGCGACCAUCUGGACGAGAAUUGACGCUGAGGCACGAAAGCGUGGGGAGCAAACAGGAUUAGAUACCCUGGUAGUCCACGCCGUAAACGAUGUAAACUAGCCGUUGGGACCUUAGGUUUCAGCGGCGCAGCCUAACGCACUAAGUUUACCGCCUGGGGAGUACGGCCGCAAGGUUAAAACUCAAAGGAAUUGACGGGGACCCGCACAAGCGGUGGAGCAUGUGGUUUAAUUCGAUGCAACGCGCAGAACCUUACCAGCCCUUGACAUGGGUAGUUUGAUUACCAGAGAUGGUUUUCUUCAGUUCGGCUGGCUACCAUACAGGUGCUGCAUGGCUGUCGUCAGUUCGUGUCGUGAGAUGUUGGGUUAAGUCCCGCAACGAGCGCAACCCUCGUCCUUAGUUGCCAGCAGGUUAAGCUGGGCACUCUAAGGAGACUGCCGAUGAUAAGACGGAGGAAGGCGGGGAUGACGUCAAGUCCUCAUGGCCCUUACGGGCUGGGCUACACACGUGCUACAAUGGCGGCGACAGAGGGAUGCAAUGGGGCGACCCGGAGCUAAUCCUCAAAAGCCGUCUCAGUUCGGAUUGUUCUCUGCAACUCGAGAGCAUGAAGUUGGAAUCGCUAGUAAUCGCGGAUCAGCAUGCCGCGGUGAAUACGUUCCCGGGCCUUGUACACACCGCCCGUCACACCAUGGGAGUUGGCUUGACCCGAAGGCGGUGAGCUAAC